This 74-nucleotide transfer RNA is filed under the name Phycisphaerae bacterium. Its description in RNAcentral is "tRNA-Trp". It matches the Rfam family "tRNA". From Rfam's summary of the family: Transfer RNA (tRNA) molecules are approximately 80 nucleotides in length. Their secondary structure includes four short double-helical elements and three loops (D, anti-codon, and T loops). Lineage: Bacteria; Pseudomonadati; Planctomycetota; Phycisphaerae. The record is from RNAcentral.
AGGAGCGUAGCUCAAUUUGGCAGAGCAGCUGAUUCCAAAUCAGCCGGUUGGGGGUUCGAGUCCCUCCGCUCCUG